UACGGAGGGGACUAGCGUUGUUCGGAAUUACUGGGCGUAAAGCGCACGUAGGCGGAUCAGCAAGUUAGGGGUGAAAUCCCGGGGCUCAACCCCGGAACUGCCUCUAAAACUGUUGGUCUUGAGUUCGAGAGAGGUGAGUGGAAUUCCGAGUGUAGAGGUGAAAUUCGUAGAUAUUCGGAGGAACACCAGUGGCGAAGGCGGCUCACUGGCUCGAUACUGACGCUGAGGUGCGAAAGUGUGGGGAGCAAACAGG
This 253-nucleotide ribosomal RNA is filed under the name uncultured bacterium. RNAcentral describes it as "partial 16S ribosomal RNA". It matches the Rfam family "Bacterial small subunit ribosomal RNA", at positions 524 to 776 of the family's 1533-position model. The record is from RNAcentral.